This 501-nucleotide ribosomal RNA is filed under the name uncultured bacterium. RNAcentral's name for it is "partial 16S ribosomal RNA". It matches the Rfam family "Bacterial small subunit ribosomal RNA", at positions 899 to 1397 of the family's 1533-position model. The record is from RNAcentral.
ACUCAAAGGAAUUGACGGGGACCCGCACAAGCGGUGGAGCAUGUGGUUUAAUUCGAGGCUACGCGAAGAACCUUACCCAGGCUUGACAUGGUUAGGACAGCUGGUGAAAGCCAGUCUUCUCGCAAGAGACCUUUCCACAGGUGCUGCAUGGCUGUCGUCAGCUCGUGCUGUGAAGUGUUGGGUUAAGUCCCGCAACGAGCGCAACCUUUGUCCUUAGUUGCCAUCACGUCAUGGUGGGCACCCUAAGGAGACUGCCGGCGAUAAGCUGGAGGAAGGAGGAGAUGACGUCAAGUCAGUAUGGCCCUUAUGCCUGGGGCUACACACGUGCUACAAUGGCCGCUACAAAGAGCUGCAAACCCGCGAGGGGGAGCAAAUCUCAAAAAAACGGCCUCAGUUCGGAUUGGAGGCUGCAAUUCGCCUCCAUGAAGUCGGAAUCGCUAGUAACGGUAGGUCAGCUACACUACCGUGAAUACGUUCCCGGGUCUUGCACACACCGCCCGU